This 781-nucleotide ribosomal RNA is filed under the name uncultured Neocallimastigales. RNAcentral describes it as "partial large subunit ribosomal RNA". It matches the Rfam family "Eukaryotic large subunit ribosomal RNA", at positions 22 to 647 of the family's 3401-position model. Lineage: Eukaryota; Fungi; Neocallimastigomycota; Neocallimastigomycetes; Neocallimastigales. The record is from RNAcentral.
GUACACGCUGUGACUAGCAUAUCAAUAAGCGGAGGAAAAGAAACUAACAAGGAUUCCCUCAGUAACGGCGAGUGAAGCGGGAAGAGCUCAAAUUUGAAAUCUUAAAGGUCUACCUUGCACGAAUUGUAGUUUAAAGAAGUGUUUUCUGCUGACGAUCUGGUAUAUAAGUUCUUUGGAAUAGGACAUCACAGAGGGUGAGAAUCCCGUCUAUGAUUGCAUAUUUGUAGCUGUGUGAUACACUUUCAAAGAGUCGGGUUGUUUGGGAAUGCAGUCCAAAACUGGGAGGUAAAUUUCAUUCUAAAGCUAAAUAUUGGCGAGAGACCGAUAGUGAACAAGUACCGUGAGGGAAAGAUGAAAAGAACUUUGAAAAGAGAGUUAAACAGUACGUGAAAUUGUCAAAAGGGAAGCGUUUGACACCAGUGUUGUUUUUCUGAAAAUCAAUUAAAGAACUGUUUAUGCUAAGCUGUUUAGACUUUAUCAGCUAUCUGUUUAGUUUUAGGCUUUUCUUUAAUGCACUUUUCAGUUAACAAGUCAACAUCAAUUUCUUUUGCUGUAAAAAAGCUUGAGGAAGGUGGCUUGAGAUUCGUCUUAAGUGUUUAUAGCCUCUUGCCUAUGCAGUCGGAGAGAUUGAGGUCUGCAGCGUAGAUCCUUCGGGGCUAGAUACAUUUGUGCUAAGUUAUAGCAUUUUAUAGACAACUUGUUGACUAUAAUUUAGUCUUGUAGCUUGACUCGCUUAUGCUAUUUUACCUACGCUUAGGAUGUUGACGCAUGAGAUAUACGC